Molecule: small RNA, 238 nt
Filed under: Pongo abelii (Sumatran orangutan)
Lineage: Eukaryota; Metazoa; Chordata; Mammalia; Primates; Hominidae
Description: processed transcript
Source: RNAcentral
AGGACAAUAUCUUCUUAUGAUGAAAUGUUAUGAUCUUGCAAAGUUUACUAUUUAUCAAAUAGCAGAAAUGGACAAAGGUCUCAUCGAGUUGAGUCCUAUGCAGCAAGCCCUCAUUUAUUCAUUUUGUGAAAACCAUGACAAGGCCAUUGAGGUCUUGGACGGAAUCAGCUGGAAUAGAGCUGAGAUGACCGUGUGUGCUGUAUUAGCAAAAGUUCAAAUGAAGGCCAAGAGAACCAAG